This 1055-nucleotide long non-coding RNA is filed under the name Equus caballus (horse). RNAcentral describes it as "lncRNA (ENSECAG00000051035.1)". The record is from RNAcentral. Lineage: Eukaryota; Metazoa; Chordata; Mammalia; Perissodactyla; Equidae.
UUUAGUGGACAUUUCAUAAUUUAUUUAGUCCUCUAUUGAUGCACAUUUAGUAGUUUCCACUUUUCCAUAAUGAAAAAGCUGCAGUGAAAUAGCCUCGUACACAUGCUUUGCUCACAUACGCAAAUGUUUUGCCUUGAUACAUAUAAUUUAACUGGGUUAAAAGAUAUGCAUAUUUACUAAGACAUUGCUGUUUGUCUUUCAAGAAAUCUGAUAACUCACUCUCCCACCUACAGUGGGUGAGAGCACCCCACAUUCUUGACAACCCUGGGUCAAUGAACAUUUUUAACCUUUGCUAAUCUGAUGGGUGAAAAGUAAAUCUUAUAAGCAUGUUUCCUAUAGUUGUUGACCAUGUGUAUUUAUUUUUUCUUUGAACAUCCUGCUAAUAACAUUCUUUGCCCAUUUUUUCUUUGGGGUUGUUCAUCUUUUGAUGAACAAAAAUAUCAAAAUUAUAUAUAAUUUUAAAAAUGUUUUCUACUAAGGAAAUCAUUCCUUUGAUACAUGUGUUAUUUGAUUUUGUUUUGAUAUCUUUUUGCCAUUCAUAAGUUUUCAGCUGUAUGUGUUCAGUUCUAUGGGGAUUUUUUCCUUCUUAAAAUUACUCACUGCAGAAUUAUAAACAGAAACUCAGAAGACAAUGGAACCUUUGCAGUUACAGGUCCAUUUUGCGUCUCUCAUCUUUCCUGACCUUGGACUUGCCGCCUGCCCUUCCCUGAAUCUUCUCUUCAUGAGACCCACAGAAUGUUCUGGAAUCGUCUACCAGCUUCCUCAUUCUGCCUUUUUAGGAAACGCAACAUUCUUCUAAAUGCUUUUCAGCCUUCUAAAACUCAUCCCCCUAUUUGAUAACCAGGAAAAUCUCCUGUUCCUCCAAGGUUUUGAAGGGAUGUAAAAGUGUAAAACAGCAAGUUCAGGGAAUGAAAGGAAACAGACAAGGAAAGGAUAUGAGGAUUGCCCAGCAGUCUUGAGUGUCCACUUUAGGCUUGUGGUCCUGAACUGAAGAACAGACGUGGGUUUUCUGCAGCAAUUUCCAGCUGUUCAGACACAGACACGUGUAGAGUUGC